CGUUCCUACGGGGGGCAGCAGUGGGGAAUAUUGCACAAUGGGGGGAACCCUGAUGCAGCGACGCCGCGUGAGUGAAGAAGUAUUUCGGUAUGUAAAGCUCUAUCAGCAGGGAAGAAAUAAAGUCCUUCGGACUUUGGACGGUACCUGACUAAGAAGACCCGGCUAACUAAGUGCCAGCAGCCGCGGUAAUACGUAGGGGGCAAGCGUUAUCCGGAUUGACUGGGUGUAAAGGGAGCGUAGGUGGCAUGGUAAGCCAGAAGUGA
RNAcentral lists this ribosomal RNA (263 nucleotides) under uncultured bacterium. RNAcentral's name for it is "partial 16S ribosomal RNA". It matches the Rfam family "Bacterial small subunit ribosomal RNA", at positions 334 to 597 of the family's 1533-position model. The record is from RNAcentral.